UGAUCUUUAGGGGGCCUGAGAGGGUGAUCCCCCACACUGGUACUGAGACACGGACCAGACUCCUACGGGAGGCAGCAGUGAGGAAUAUUGGACAAUGGGUGAGAGCCUGAUCCAGCCAUCCCGCGUGAAGGACGACGGCCCUAUGGGUUGUAAACUUCUUUUGUAUAGGGAUAAACCUACUCUCGUGAGAGUAGCUGAAGGUACUAUACGAAUAAGCACCGGCUAACUCCGUGCCAGCAGCCGCGGUAAUACGGAGGGUGCAAGCGUUAUCCGGAUUUAUUGGGUUUAAAGGGUCCGUAGGCGGGCUUGUAAGUCAGUGGUGAAAUCUCAUAGCUUAACUAUGAAACUGCCAUUGAUACUGCAGGUCUUGAGUAAAGUAGAAGUGGCUGGAAUAAGUAGUGUAGCGGUGAAAUGCAUAGAUAUUACUUAGAACACCAAUUGCGAAGGCAGGUCACUAUGUUUUAACUGACGCUGAUGGACGAAAGCGUGGGGAGCGAACAGGAUUAGAUACCCUGGUAGUCCACGCCGUAAACGAUGCUAACUCGUUUUUGGGGCUUCGGCUUCAGAGACUAAGCGAAAGUGAUAAGUUAGCCACCUGGGGAGUACGUUCGCAAGAAUGAAACUCAAAGGAAUUGACGGGGGCCCGCACAAGCGGUGGAUUAUGUGGUUUAAUUCGAUGAUACGCGAGGAACCUUACCAAGGCUUAAAUGGGAAUUGACAGGUUUAGAAAUAGACUUUUCUUCGGACAAUUUUCAAGGUGCUGCAUGGUUGUCGUCAGCUCGUGCCGUGAGGUGUUAGGUUAAGUCCUGCAACGAGCGCAACCCCUGUCACUAGUUGCCAUCAUUAAGUUGGGGACUCUAGUGAGACUGCCUACGCAAGUAGAGAGGAAGGUGGGGAUGACGUCAAAUCAUCACGGCCCUUACGCCUUGGGCCACACACGUAAUACAAUGGCCAGUACAGAGGGCAGCUACCAGGCGACUGGAUGCGAAUCUCGAAAGCUGGUCUCAGUUCGGAUUGGAGUCUGCAACUCGACUCUAUGAAGCUGGAAUCGCUAGUAAUCGCAUAUCAGCCAUGAUGCGGUGAAUACGUUCCCGGGCCUUGUACACACCGCCCGUCAAGCCAUGGAAGUUUGGGGUACCUGAAGUCGGUGACCGUAACAGGAGCUGCCUAGGGUAAAACAAGUAACUAGGGCUAAGUCGUAACAAGGUAGCCGUACCGGAAGGUGCGGCUGGAACAUCU
This 1239-nucleotide ribosomal RNA is filed under the name Chryseobacterium sp. MOF25P. Its description in RNAcentral is "bacterial SSU rRNA". It matches the Rfam family "Bacterial small subunit ribosomal RNA", at positions 277 to 1528 of the family's 1533-position model. Lineage: Bacteria; Pseudomonadati; Bacteroidota; Flavobacteriia; Flavobacteriales; Weeksellaceae. RNAcentral also lists the same sequence under 1 other name. The record is from RNAcentral.